RNAcentral lists this ribosomal RNA (433 nucleotides) under uncultured bacterium. Its description in RNAcentral is "partial 16S ribosomal RNA". It matches the Rfam family "Bacterial small subunit ribosomal RNA", at positions 29 to 507 of the family's 1533-position model. The record is from RNAcentral.
AACGAACGCUGGCGGCAUGCCUAACGCAUGCAAGUCGAACGAUCCCUUCGGGGAUAGUGGCGCACGGGUGCGUAACGCGUGGGAACCUGCCCUUAGGUUCGGAAUAACUCAGAGAAAUUUGAGCUAAUACCGGAUAAUGUCUUCGGACCAAAGAUUUAUCGCCUUUGGAUGGGCCCGCGUUGGAUUAGCUAGUUGGUGGGGUAAAGGCCUACCAAGGCGACGAUCCAUAGCUGGUCUGAGAGGAUGAUCAGCCACACUGGGACUGAGACACGGCCCAGACUCCUACGGGAGGCAGCAGUGGGGAAUAUUGGACAAUGGGCGAAAGCCUGAUCCAGCAAUGCCGCGUGAGUGAUGAAGGCCUUAGGGUUGUAAAGCUCUUUUACCCGGGAUGAUAAUGACAGUACCGGGAGAAUAAGCCCCGGCUAACUCCGUG